UACGGAGGGUGCAAGCGUUGUUCGGAAUGACUGGGCGUAAAGCGCACGUAGGCGGGUCUGUAAGUCAGCUGUGAAAGCCCAGGGCUUAACCUUGGAUGUGCGGUUGAAACUACAGAUCUUGAAUACCCGAGAGGGUGGCGGAAUUCCGGGUGUAGAAGUGAAAUUCGUAGAUAUCCGGAGGAACACCAGAGGCGAAGGCGGCCAUCUGGCGGUGUAUUGACGCUGAGGUGCGAAAGCGUGGGGAGCAAAC
RNAcentral lists this ribosomal RNA (250 nucleotides) under uncultured bacterium. Its description in RNAcentral is "partial 16S ribosomal RNA". It matches the Rfam family "Bacterial small subunit ribosomal RNA", at positions 524 to 773 of the family's 1533-position model. The record is from RNAcentral.